This 460-nucleotide ribosomal RNA is filed under the name uncultured bacterium. RNAcentral describes it as "partial 16S ribosomal RNA". It matches the Rfam family "Bacterial small subunit ribosomal RNA", at positions 338 to 795 of the family's 1533-position model. The record is from RNAcentral.
CCUACGGGAGGCAGCAGUGAGGAAUAUUGGUCAAUGGCCGGAAGGCUGAACCAGCCAAGUCGCGUGAAGGAUGACUGCCCUAUGGGUUGUAAACUUCUUUUAUAAGGGAAGAAUAAAUGCUACGUGUAGCAUGAUGACUGUACUUUAUGAAUAAGCAUCGGCUAACUCCGUGCCAGCAGCCGCGGUAAUACGGAGGAUGCGAGCGUUAUCCGGAUUUAUUGGGUUUAAAGGGUGCGUAGGGGGGUUUUUAAGUUAGUGGUUAAAUGUUGGGGCUUAAACUUGAAUUUGCCAUUAAUACGUGAAGACUUGAGUUCAGAUGAGGUAGGCGGAAUAAGUGAAGUAGCGGUGAAAUGCUUAGAUAUAACGUAGAACUCCGAUAGCGAAGGCAGCUUACCAGACUGCGACUGACGUUGAAGCACGAGAGCGUGGGUAGCGAACAGGAUUAGAUACCCGUGUAGUC